ACGAUUUUACAACACAUACACAAAUACAUCUAUUUAAUCUACCAAAUACAAAUAAUAAAUAAAUAAAUAAAGACAUAAAUAACGACAGCCAAAUUAUUCUAAGCUAUAUUUUGUACAAUUGAUUGAGUGUUGCCUUUCUAAGUUAUAUUUUGUACAACUAAUUGAGUGUUUGCUUUCCCUUUCUAAAUUGAACCGUGCACUCCUUCUUCACUGUUAGAACAUUCAAACACAACCGUAAAAUUUACAUAAACAAUGAUAUUUCUAUACAAGUAUGGUAUUGUGUACUGAUAAUCAUCGAUCCAAUCUCAAAAAUGGACUAAGAACAUCAAACCCAUUUCCCCUAUUGGUGUCUAUCAAAAAACUCAAAAUCAAAACAACCUUGAAUAUCUUUUGUUAGUGUUCUUUAUUCUUCUUUGAUUUUUAGCCAGGAACCAAAACCAAACACCCUAGAUAUCCUUGUGUUGAUCUAUCUUCUUUCCCUGCAAUCAAAGGCAAAACCCAAACACAAAUUUCAUCCAUCGAUUUAUGCCAAACAAUCAAACCCAAACACAAACUCAAUUCUAUCCAUUUUCUGUCAAAAAUUAAAUCCCAAACACCCACUUAGAUUCUGUUCAUUACUGUGAAGCAAUCAAAAAAAAAAAAAAAAAACGACGAAGACCGAAGGAGUUGCAGAAGUAGCCCCAUCCAUUACCUAAAAUCGCUGGAGACCAACGCCUCCUCACCAUCUGUUCCAUCGAUUGGACCAUUAUCCCUUCGAGUUCACCUCAUAGGUAGUUUUCCUUGCAUUCCCCGUUCACCCUUAGACCGAGCAACGACGCCAACACCCCGCCUUCGUCACUGCUGCUGCUGGCGAUACCUGACCCUUCGCUGCUUCUCCCCUUCGGCCGUCGAACCCCGGAGACAAUAAUCCAUCUCGCGAUUGAUCACUGAAAACACGCCUGCUUCAGUGCUACUUCUGCUUGAGACUCCCGGACUUCACGCCUCGCAGCGGGACAAGAAGAGGGAAGCUACGUUGCUUCGGCCUCACCAAUCCCGGAGACGACGACCUCCCUCGUCUUUCGAUUGGAGAAUGUCGCCUGUUCAUGACCGCUUCUUGUUUUCCUUCGAUCGGCUGUUCUUUUUUUCUUGACUUGAAGAAAACGGAGAUCCCUUUUUUCCCUAUUUCGAUUGAAUUAGCCUAAUCCAGCAGAUUAGUCCCACAUUUUUAUCAAAUAGUAAAACAAAAAACCCCUCUGUUGUGUUAAUAUUACAAUCAACCCUAACAAUCAUUUGACUUUGAUAAAGUAACAUAAUAACCCUUCAUUUGACAAAUACCUUACAAGAUCAACCCAGUCCUAAACCAUUGAAACCAUUUAUCCAAAACAACCCCUCCCCUGAAUUAUUUUAACCAAAUCAGACCUAUUUAAGUUAAUUAAAUUACCAAAUAACCCCUAAUAGUUUAUAUUUGUUACGAAAUGGUCCCGAGAGUAUUUCAAAGUUCAAGAAUUAUGGAUUUACGGUUUCUCACGUCAAGCUUCUCAAAGAAACCGAAUUCGAACGAUUGGAACUCACGCAACGAAUGUAAGUGCUUAAGACCCAUUUUAAAUAUUUUAAUUAUUUCGAUGGGGGAAAGGGGGGAUACAUGUGCCUAAUUAUUUUGUUUAUACAAACCAAUUACCUUUUUAUGCGAAAAUACAAUAGAAAUAGUUUAUAAAAAUAUUAUUAUUUAACAAUUUACAAUCUUGUUACGAAUAAACUAAUAUAAAUUUUUCGUAUACGUAUUAUGGUUAUUUUAUUGUGAAAUAACAAUUUCACACAACAAAUGCUACAUGAUACAAAAUUACAUGAUUUUUAUGUGACAUUGCAUAUUAUAACAAGUACGUCAUGAAACUUUGUAGUAUUUCAAGGAUUCAAGCUAUUAUUAAACAUGUUUAUUUAUAUAUUUAAAUACGCCAUGUUUAUACAUGUACAUAUGUUCAUUAAUUUGAAACACUCAUUUUUAUAAAAGCAAGGUCAUUACACUUUUACAUAUAUGUCAAACAUACUCGGCUUUUAUAAGCAUUAUACAACGAUAUUCAUUAUGCCUGGUGACUUAAUCACAAUUAAGUUAGGGCUGAGAGUUAUUCACAAACUUUUUAGUUAAGGGACUUUUAGUGAGAAGUUUUGUUAUUCAUUAACUGAGUUUAAAUACAUCGAAGCGAGAUACAUAUGUAUAGAUCAAUAUGGGGUUGACAUCCCCACCUGCAGUUGCUAGCUACAACUCUCGAUCGAUCAAUCGAAGCGGGUGAUAAGUGUCUGCAAUUUUUACUACAACGUCCAAUGAAGCAUUGUAAGGGGGUACACUCAAGUCAUAUAGCUUGGUUAUAGGACUCACUAAAAACAUUAACUAGAAUAUCAUUGUGUCUCACUAUAACCAUGGGCUUGGUUGCUUUCAAAACUAUUUUUAAGUAUGGAAUUACUUAUGUAACAUAACAAUUUGGUUUUCAAGGAUAUUUAAAGGUUUAUUACGAACACAGUUUAAAGUAUGGAUUUACUUAUACAAAAGAUACAUUUUUGCUUUAAAGGAUUUAUUACAAACAUAGUGUAAAGUAUGGAUUUACUUAUACAAAAAUACAUUUUGGGCUUUUUAAGACUCAUUGCAAACACUUUUUUAGCUAUUGUCAUACGUACAAAGAUAAUACUUUUUAGACUUAUUAAAAGUAUUACUGCUUUUAGCAAAAAACCUGUAACACUCACCAACCUUGUGUUGACCCUCAAAACUACAUGUAUUCACAGGAAAUUACUAAACAGACAUUCAAGACAUAUUAGAUUAUAGGUGACCUAGUUUACUUGAUGUUGUAUUAUAUGCCUAUCUAUUAGGGCAAUUCGUGUAUUAUUAUUUGUAAAAACCUUGUAUUCAAAUAUCAAGAUCGAACAUAAUUGCUAUUUUGUUUAUAUUUGUUCUUGUGCUAUAUAUUCGGUUUACUGGUGAUCCAUGAACUUAGUCGCACAGCCCGAUGCAUUUCGUCGUCUCGGUCGAGGGUGUGACAAAACAUUUCCAUAUUCCCAUAUUGUAGCACCCAAAGUUUUGAAGGCCAAGAAAGGGAAAGAAAACCCUAAGUUUAGGGGUCGACUCG
This 3095-nucleotide long non-coding RNA is filed under the name Lactuca sativa (garden lettuce). Its description in RNAcentral is "long non-coding RNA (LSAT_LNC007604)". The record is from RNAcentral. Lineage: Eukaryota; Viridiplantae; Streptophyta; Magnoliopsida; Asterales; Asteraceae.